This is a long non-coding RNA of Peromyscus eremicus (cactus mouse), 332 nucleotides long. RefSeq lists it as uncharacterized. The record is from RefSeq and is a predicted model, not a curated record. The transcript is spliced from 2 exons. Lineage: Eukaryota; Metazoa; Chordata; Mammalia; Rodentia; Cricetidae.
CUUACAAUCUGGGCCAUGAACAUGGAUGACCUAUAGCCUGUUUCCUGUCUCUGAAUCCUAACUUUUGCCUUCUACUUGUGCUUCUGAACAAGCGGACUACAUUUUCUCAGAAACUAUGGAUGGAAAAAAUUUUGGGGAAAGGAAUUUUAUCACUGCACUGUAGAAACUGGAGAGAUCUUACCUGGCCUCAUUUAGAGGGGCAUAUAGAGAUAAGACCCUGACUGUUUAAGUUGCUUUGAAGAAUUCUAAGAAGUGAGGCACAAAGGCCUGCUUUAAAAUAGAUGGCUACUGACUGGAUAGUUCUUGCAAUAAAAGUUGACAAGAGAAUGAAA